Molecule: ribosomal RNA, 433 nt
Filed under: uncultured bacterium
Lineage: Bacteria
Description: partial 16S ribosomal RNA
Rfam family: Bacterial small subunit ribosomal RNA
Source: RNAcentral
AACGAACGCUGGCGGCAUGCCUAACACAUGCAAGUCGACCGAGACUUUCGGGUCUAGUGGCGCACGGGUGCGUAACGCGUGGGAACCUGCCCUUAGGUUCGGUAUAACUCCCCGAAAGGGGUGCUAAUACCGGUUAAUGUCUUCGGACCAAAGAUUUGUCGCCUUUGGUUGGUUCUGCGUUGGAUUAGCUAGUUGGUAGGGUAAAAGCCUACCAUGGCUAUGAUCCAUAGCUGGUCGGAGAGGAUGAUCAGCCACACUGGAACUGAGGCACGGCCCAGACUCCUACGGGGGGCAGCGGUGGGGAAUAUUGUACAGUGGGGGAGGGCCUGAUCCAGCAGUGCCGCGUAAGUGAUGAAGGCCUUAUGGUAGUAAAGCUCUUUUACCCGGUAUGAGAAUGACGGUACCGGGAGAAUAAGCACCGGCUAACUCCGUG